This is a long non-coding RNA of Empidonax traillii (willow flycatcher), 332 nucleotides long. RefSeq lists it as uncharacterized. The record is from RefSeq and is a predicted model, not a curated record. Lineage: Eukaryota; Metazoa; Chordata; Aves; Passeriformes; Tyrannidae. The transcript has 3 exons.
AAAUCUGAGUGUGAUCACUCUUAUGAAAAUUCUGGCUUUACCUAGGGAAAGGAAAGUGUCUGUGUUGUGUCUUGAUCCAUUGGGAACCUAUGGAUGACAGGCAUUGGAACCUGAAAUUCUGCAGCAUAAAACAUGAAGAAUGUGCAUCAACCUUGACUUGCAGCACCACUUCAAAAGACCAAGAAACUGCUGGAGAGGGACCUGAGAGUCAGCUGUAGAGGCCAACACAGUCUAUAAUGCUUUCAGAUAAUAACCAGAUGAUAGCUCCACAAUUCCAACAAAGAAACACAAGCAGUAUGAACGUACAAUUUUGCCACAGAGCAUUUGCAGGA